This 429-nucleotide unclassified non-coding RNA is filed under the name Hevea brasiliensis (rubber tree). Lineage: Eukaryota; Viridiplantae; Streptophyta; Magnoliopsida; Malpighiales; Euphorbiaceae. The record is from RNAcentral.
GAACCUGUCACCCUAGACACAUUUUUAGCAUGGAGGGAAAGAUUUGAAGCAGAGAUUGCACUGGAACGAGCCAAGAUAAUGCCCGAAUCGGCUCUUACUGCACCUAAGGAAAAGAAACUUACUGGCAGGCAGUGGUUUGAGAGUGGACGAGCUUCGGCGAAAGGUGCAGCCCCAGUUACUGAAGGAUCUGACGAAGAAGACGAGGAAGAUAUUGACUUUGAUGAGGAUGAUUUUGAAGACGAUGAGGAAGACAUGCUUGAGCAUUAUCUGGCUGAGAAGUCAGAUUCGUCCUCUCACUCUUCCAGAAGGCCUUAGUUAUAAAUCAGUUCAUUUGCUUCAUUAUAUGAAUGGAUAUCAAAUUUUGGCUUGUAAUCUUAGUUGAAACCAGGAUGACAAUUUUUCCAUUUAUACAACUUUUUUUUAUUCAGU